UUUAAGUUAUGAUAUACAUGUAGUGUGUGGCCAGGUUGGCUCAGUGGUAGAGCAGGCGCACAUGAACAGAGGUUUAUGCCUCCACACAGAGGUCGAGGGUUCGACUCUGACAUGUGACAAUUUCCUGCAUGUCUUCCCCCUCUUUCUCGUCUGUCC
Long non-coding RNA from Etheostoma cragini (Arkansas darter), 156 nucleotides. RefSeq lists it as uncharacterized. The transcript has 3 exons. The record is from RefSeq and is a predicted model, not a curated record. NCBI's taxonomy places the organism in Eukaryota, Metazoa, Chordata, Actinopteri, Perciformes, Percidae.